CAUUGGCAUGCUGCAGUUCGAGUUCUUCAAUAUAUCAAUUCAUCUCCAGGCAUUGGCACCCUUCUUUCAGCCAAUAGCCCUCUCAACGUUCAUGCAUGUUCUGAUUGGGCCUCUUGUCCCAUGACUUAGUGCUCUACAAUGGGUUAUUGAACUUUUCUUGGUUCUAGUCUUAUUUCAUGGAAAUUCAAGAAACAAUCGAUAGUUUCUCGUUUUCUGCUGAAGCCGAAUAUCCUGCUAUGGCUUUUACUACUUGCAAACUCCUUUGGCUCAGUUAUCUUAUUCAUAAUGUUUGAGUCAAAUUCACUACCGCCAAACUAUACUGCGACAAUCAAGCUACUCUCCACAUUGCCUCCAAUCCUGUUUUUCAUGAGAGCACUAAACGCAUAGAGCUUGACUGUCAUCUCGUCCGAGACAAAAUUCAAGAUGGUUUUCUUCAAACAUCCUAUGUACCAAGUCAUCUUCAACUUGUGGAUAUAUUCAGAAAGCCACUUGGUAGGGACCAAUUUUUAUCUCUUGCUAGCAAGCUUGCUCGAGUAUUUCAUUCUACAAGCUUGAGGGGGAUGUUUGACGGUAUCAAAUCUGAAAGAUUUGAUAACAAAUCAAACUCAAAUUACUUUUGUUAUGCAAAGAUCAAAUCUCCGGCUUGAUCGGAGUCUUGAUUCGAAUCAACUUAGUUAUUUUAUGCAGUUGUAAAUUCCUUCUUUAGCUUCUGUAAGUUUGGUUUCUCAACAGCAUGUAAACUCUAUAUAUUGAGCUAGCUACAGUGAAUGAAAAACAUCAAAUUCCACUUUCUUCAAUGUGCAAGUUGACGAUUUAUUAGUCAGUCAAUUCCCAAUUCAUGCAUGCAAAAAAGGCUUUGCGUGAAGACACAUUGUAUCCAUAUGCGAAAUCAAUAAAUGUAUCUUCCCAAACUCUUCACAUGCAUGCAACCUCAAUUCAGAUAUUUUUAGUCUUUCUUUCACCUGAUUUUAAGCAGAACCUAUAACAGAUAUUUUUAGUCUUUCUUUCAAUAAUUUUCUCGCCGCUUUAGUCAGGAGACAUGAUUUCUUUAAUAUUUUUUUGACGUGGAAAUCACAACGAAUUGAUGCGCUGGUGGCUUGUUGGAGAUAUAUAUGUCGAUUUUUCUUCCUUGACGAUAACAUUUGUGCCUGGACUUACUGCUUCACGCAAAUCAAUCUAUCGUUUAAGAGGUGGCGAUCUGAGGUGAAGGAAAAGUAUUUCAUUCAAAUAACAAACGAUUGGGAGCGCUUCUGGCAUCUUGACGAGCGUGUAGAUGGAGUAGAAUUUUUUACACUUUGUGAUUACUGGGACACGGCUGAAAUCCAGGCUCAAGCUGAAAUAGCAAGGAGGAAC
Long non-coding RNA from Asparagus officinalis (garden asparagus), 1353 nucleotides. RefSeq lists it as uncharacterized. The record is from RefSeq and is a predicted model, not a curated record. The transcript has 3 exons. Lineage: Eukaryota; Viridiplantae; Streptophyta; Magnoliopsida; Asparagales; Asparagaceae.